GCAAGGGCAGACGGUGGAUGCCUUGGCUCUCGGAGGCGAUGAAGGACGUGAUAAGCUGCGAUAAGCUUGGGGUAGGUGCAAAUAACCUUUGAUCCCAAGAUUUCCGAAUGGGGCAACCCGGCUGGUAGAAGGCCAGUCAUUCCGUAAGGAAGGCGAACGUGGGGAACUGAAACAUCUAAGUACCCAUAGGAGAAGAAAACAAAAGUGAUUCCGCAAGUAGUGGCGAGCGAACGCGGAACAGCCCAAACCGAUGAUGUUUAGGCAUUGUCGGGGUAGUAGGACCACGUUGUGGCAAGAGAUUAAGGAAGUAGAACGUUUUGGAACAAACGGCCGUAGACGGUGAAAGCCCAGUAUACGACUCUUUAACGAAGCCUAGUGGAAUCCUGAGUAGCGCGGAGCACGAGAAAUUCUGUGUGAAUCAGCGGGGCCCAUCCCGUAAGGCUAAAUACUCCCGAGAGACCGAUAGCGAACCAGUACUGUGAAGGAAAGGUGAAAAGAACCUCGAACAGAGGAGUGAAACAGACCCUGAAACCAUGCGCCUACAAGCGGUCGGAGCAUGUUAAAAUGUGACGGCGUGCCUUUUGCAUAAUGAACCUACGAGUUACUCUCGCUGGCAAGGUUAAGCGAUUCAGUCGCGCAGCCGAAGCGAAAGCAAGUCCGAACAAGGCGUACAGUCAGCGGGAGUAGACGCGAAACCAAGUGAUCUACCCUUGGUCAGGUUGAAGGUUGGGUAACACCAACUGGAGGACCGAACCCACUCCCGUUGAAAAGGUAGGGGAUGAAUUGUGGCUAGGGGUGAAAGGCCAAUCAAACUCGGAAAUAGCUGGUUCUCCGCGAAAACUAUUUAGGUAGUGCGGUGAGCGGACACCUUGAGGGGUAGAGCACUGGAAGAGCUAAGGGGGAGCGAUCCUUACUAAACUUUACCAAACUCCGAAUACUCAAGAGUGAUACUCACCAGACAGACAUUAGGUGCUAAGGUCUAGUGUCGAGAGGGAAAGAGCCCAGACCGCCAAUUAAGGUCCCAAAAUUAUGGCUAAGUGGUAAAGGAAGUGAAACGUCCAAAACAGUCAGGAGGUUGGCUUAGAAGCAGCCAUCCUUUAAAGAAAGCGUAAUAGCUCACUGAUCUAAAUAAGACGUCUUGCGCCGAAGAUGUAACGGGGCUAAAGCCAUAUACCGAAGUUGCGGAUUUACACGUUAAAGUGUAAGUGGUAGCGGAGCGUUCUGUAAGCCUGCGAAGGUGUACCGUAAGGUAUGCUGGAGGUAUCAGAAGUGAGAAUGCUGACAUGAGUAGCGAAAAGAAGAGUGAGAGACUCUUCCGCUGAAAGUCCAAGGUUUCCUGCGUAAAGCUAAUCUGCGCAGGGUUAGUCGGUCCCUAAGGCGAGGCAGAGAUGCGUAGUCGAUGGCAAUCAGGUUAAUAUUCCUGAACCGGCCCGGAAGUGACGGAUUGAGUAAAUUGUAAGUUCUUAUUGGAUUGAGCUUGCAGUGAAUCAGUCCCAGGAAAUAGCCCGGGCUAAGACCGUACCCGAAACCGACACAGGUGGACAGGUAGAGAAUACCAAAGCGCUUGAGAGAACUAUGUUGAAGGAACUAGGCAAAAUACUUGCGUAACUUCGGGAUAAGCAAGCCCCAUUUUAAGGCAACUUAGGGUGGGGGGCACAUACUAGGGGGUAGCGACUGUUUACUAAAAACACAGGGCUCUGCUAAAUUGAAAGAUGAAGUAUAGGGUCUGACGCCUGCCCGGUGCUGGAAGGUUACGCGGAUGAGUUAGCGCAAGCGAAGCCCUGCUGUCUCCAACAUAGGCUCAGCGAAAUUGAACUCUGAGUUAAGAUGCUCAGUACCCGCGGUUAGACGGAAAGACCCCGUGAACCUUUACUAUAGCUUUGCAGUGGUAUUAGGUAACAAAUGUGUAGAAUAGGUGGGAUGCUAUGAAGCUACGACGCCAGUUGUAGUGGAGCAGACUUUGAAAUACCACCCUUUUGUUGUUUGAUAUCUAACCUGCUCCCGUUAUCCGGGAGAGGGACCCUGCAUGGUGGGUAGUUUGACUGGGGCGGUCGCCUCCCAAAGAGUAACGGAGGCGCGCAAAGGUUGGCUCAGAUUGGUCAGAAAUCAAUCGUUGAGUGCAAUGGCAUAAGCCAGCCUGACUGCGAGAGCGACGGUUCGAGCAGAUACGAAAGUAGGUCAUAGUGAUCCGGUGGUCCCGAGUGGAAGGGCCAUCGCUCAACGGAUAAAAGGUACUCCGGGGAUAACAGGCUGAUUCCGCCCAAGAGUUCACAUCGACGGCGGAGUUUGGCACCUCGAUGUCGGCUCAUCACAUCCUGGGGCUGGAGAAGGUCCCAAGGGUUCGGCUGUUCGCCGAUUAAAGUGGCACGCGAGCUGGGUUCAGAACGUCGUGAGACAGUUCGGUCUCUAU
Molecule: ribosomal RNA, 2410 nt
Filed under: human gut metagenome
Description: bacterial LSU rRNA
Rfam family: Bacterial large subunit ribosomal RNA
Source: RNAcentral